GGAGAGGUGGCCGAGCGGUAAGGCAGCUGCUUGCUAAGCAGUCGUCCGGGUGACACCGGCGGCGGGUUCAAUUCCCGCCCUCUCCG
This 86-nucleotide transfer RNA is filed under the name Catenulispora acidiphila DSM 44928. RNAcentral's name for it is "tRNA-Ser (GCT) (tRNA-Ser-GCT-1-1)". It matches the Rfam family "tRNA". Rfam says of the family: Transfer RNA (tRNA) molecules are approximately 80 nucleotides in length. Their secondary structure includes four short double-helical elements and three loops (D, anti-codon, and T loops). The record is from Rfam by way of RNAcentral. Lineage: Bacteria; Bacillati; Actinomycetota; Actinomycetes; Catenulisporales; Catenulisporaceae.